CUUUGGGAUAAGCUUGGGAAACUGGGUCUAAUCCCGAUUAUGACCACUUCUUGGAUGUUGNGUGGAAAGCUUUUGCGGUNUGGGAUGAGCCUGCGGCCUAUCAGCUUGUUGGUGGGGUAAUGNCCUACCAAGGCGGCGACGGGUAUCCGGCCUGAGAGGGUGUACGGACACAUUGGGACUGAGAUACGGCCCAGANUCCUACGGGAGGCAGCAGUGGGGAAUAUUGCACAAUGGGCGCAAGCCUGAUGCAGCGACGCCGCGUGGGGGAUGAAGGCCUUCGGGUUGUAAACUCCUUUCGCUAUCGACGAAGCCUUCGGGUGACGGUAGGUAGAUAAGAAGCACCGGCUAACUACGUGCCAGCAGCCGCGGUAAUACGUAGGGUGCAAGCGUUGUCCGGAAUUACUGGGCGUAAAGAGCUCGUAGGUGGCUUGAUAAGCCGGUUGUGAAAGCCCCGGGCUCAACCUGGGAACGGCAUCCGGAACUGUCAGGCUAGAGUGCAGGAGAGGAAGGUAGAAUUCCCGGUGUAGCGGUGAAAUGCGUAGAGAUCGGGAGGAAUACCAGUGGCGAAGGCGGCCUUCUGGACUGACACUGACACUGAGGUGCGAAAGCGUGGGUAGCAAACAGGAUUAGAUACCCUGGUAGUCCACGCCGUAAACGAUGUCGACCAGCCGUUGGGUGCCUAGCGCACUUUGUGGCGAAGUUAACGCGAUAAGUCGACCGCCUGGGGAGUACGGCCGCAAGGUUAAAACUCAAAUGAAUUGACGGGGGCCCGCACAAGCGGUGGAGCAUGUGGUUUAAUUCGAUGCAACGCGAAGAACCUUACCUACCCUUGACAUCGACAGAAGCCGAGAGAGAUCUUGGUGUGCCUUCGGGAACUGUCAGACAGGUGCUGCAUGGCUGUCGUCAGCUCGUGUUGUGAAAUGUUGGGUUAAGUCCCGUAACGAGCGCAACCCUUGUCCUUAUUUGCCAGCGCGUAAUGGCGGGAACUCUAAGGAGACUGCCGGUGACAAACCGGAGGAAGGUGGGGACGACGUCAAGUCAUCAUGGCCCUUACGGGUAGGGCUACACACGUGCUACAAUGGCCGGUACAAAGGGCAGCGAGCUCGCGAGAGUCAGCGAAUCCCUUAAAGCCGGUCUCAGUCCGGAUCGGAGUCUGCAACUCGACUCCGUGAAGUCGGAAUCGCUAGUAAUCAUGAAUCAGAA
RNAcentral lists this ribosomal RNA (1203 nucleotides) under uncultured bacterium. RNAcentral's name for it is "bacterial SSU rRNA". It matches the Rfam family "Bacterial small subunit ribosomal RNA", at positions 136 to 1354 of the family's 1533-position model. The record is from RNAcentral.